Molecule: long non-coding RNA, 5448 nt
Organism: Ooceraea biroi (clonal raider ant)
Lineage: Eukaryota; Metazoa; Arthropoda; Insecta; Hymenoptera; Formicidae
Source: RefSeq, a predicted model, not a curated record
UUUUAUUUUUUAAUAGAACAUAACUUAAUACAUAGUGAUAGAGUUCUUAAUAGAGCAUAAGUUAAUACAUAAGGAAGUACAGUGUCCAAAGUGCAAUAAUAAAUUAGAACUUAAUACAAGUAAUUUCUCAUUUCGCUGCCGGAAAGUAUUUUACGAGAAAAAUAAGCACAAAAAGUACGUCAAGAGACAAUGUUCCUUCAAAGCUUCUGCAAAAGUUGAUACAUGGUUCGACAUAAUUUUUUAGUUUUAAUUUUUUGAGUUCCUCGGGUCAAAAAAGGUUUUUAACAAAUUCGGAGUUCUGUUGAUAGUUCUGGGUAGCUCUUCAAGAGUUCUAACGAUUAUUAUUAAGACUCGAAGCGCUAAAACCAAAACUGAAAGAGUUCUAGCGAUUUUUCAUUUCCAGAAGAGAAAUUUUCUAAUUUCUUCUAAACGAAGAAAACUUUUUAAUAUUUUCUUGAGGGUUCUGAAUAGCGCUACAAGAGUUCCAUCGAAAAGUAUUAGAACUUUUUUGGCUCCGGCUUGAAAUAAAAAAGUUAUGACCAAUUUUCCUUUCGCAAAAACGUGAAGUUGGCGGCACCCCAUAUCUUCAAAUCCUGAUUUUUUAUAUUUAAUCGCCGGAACUCUUUUCAAAACGUAUCAGGAACUCUAGAACUCUUUGGGGAAGAGCCAGAACUCUAUUAAUUAUAUCAAAAUUUUGCAAUUGGGGUGCUAACUUCACAGAGGUGCUUUUGCGAACACUCUGGAAUAGAACCUGUAAGUUUAUCGUACUCGAGAAAUGAGCACCGCGGGUACUGAAAAAGAGCCGAAUAAUCGCUGAGUUUAAAAAAAAAACACACGAUGUAUCGAAUGAGAACAAUCGAUAAUAAAGUGUCCCAGAUAUCACAUGACAAUCGAGGAUAGUAAGAUAAAUAAAUUGUACUAUUUUUAUCAUACAGAAACUCGGAAUUAUAUUUUCAAUCAUUUCAACAUCGUUCCAGAUUUCACGCUGCUUCAGCGAUACGUCUAUCAGGCUAUCAACAUUUCCCGGAUGCGAUUUAAAAAGCUUGCAACAUUCAAACUCUUGAAUAAAUAAUAUCACGAUAAAGCGACGGUACAAUCCGAAUAUUCAAGCUUUGAAUAUUCAAUCACCCCCAAGCCAGUGAUCGAUUGAUCAAAUUUAUUCGAAACAUUAAAUAUCCAAAAUUGUAGAAUUUAUUCGAAAUUCGAGGAUGGAAUAAUCUAGCUAUCUUCCUGCAUGUUCCUGAUCACGAUCUGAAUCGGUGCUUUUCGCCGUCCAACGACAUUACCUCUUCUCUCUCGUCUCUCUCGUAUAAUAUAAUACUCCCGAAACAUAUUUCGGUGCGGGGUGAACGAACCGAAGGAAAGCGACGCGCGACGUGUCCGUCGUUACAAUGCACUGUGCAUUGUAAACGAGCCGGGCGACAAGUGUGCACUCUCGGCAGUAGUGUUGACCUUUCAAUGAUGCUAAGCCGCCGCCGCCCGCCCGCUCGCCACCGCUCGCCGUUUUGCCAUUACACGCUCGGCCGACGCAGAACACAUGUGGGCCACAUCAGUCAGGUCGGCCGGGGAUUUGAUCGUUUUCAAAAGCGCGCUAAACACCCGGAUAUUUUACAGCUUUCGAGUGCAACCGCGUCUCCUACACGCUUUGUCACCUCACGAUUUUUACGCUCGCCACAAACGCUCGGCGAAUGACCGGGGCGCGUUCUGUCGUUUCAACGGUAACAAUUAUCUCACUGUUGAGGCGGGCAAGUGGACAUCCGAUUAAACGUCAUGGUUUCCAAAUGGAUUACCGUUAUAUUUUUAUCCGCGUAGGACGUUGAUGGCUUUGUAGCAUCUGGUUUACAAAUGAAACCAAAGGUUGUAAAUUGUUUGCGAAAAUAUAUAAAUGAACGAUUCAAAAAUCGCCGCGAUACAGAUUUAGCGGUUUAGCGUAUAUGUAGCGACAGUUAUUGCUCUGCCAAGAUAAUUGACAGAUGUCUCUACAAUUAGGCGUCAAACAUCGCUAUAAAUACAUUAAGAUUACAACCGUCGAUUUCAAAACAUUCCGCUUUUGGAUCACGUAAAGCCAAAAACUGUUUCUUCAAAAAUAGAAAUACAAAAUCACGCGAAUAGAGCGCAGAAAUAAGAAUUUGAUGCGGGCAAAAGUUGAAUAGUUCAUCUUGGCGAAAAUCAUCGUCGAUGUAAGUCCUGUGAAGCAAUGUAAGUUCUUCAAGGUGUUCUUAGGACACGCCGUACAAUGUAGUUGGCCAACAAGAAAUUAUUUUUGCAGCGACAAUGUUAUACAAGCGCCUCGCUAAUUGUAAGUUAAGCGCGGUCUUUCGCGCUCGCUCGCACGCGCACUCAUAUGUAAAAUUAUUUCAUUUUUCAUUGCGACGCGGUCGACAUGAACCGCCAUUUCGACGUGACGACGGCAUCGCUGCGAGAAACUGGAGUAACGUGUCGGACGGAGUUCGUAAACGACGGAGGUCGCGACAAGUUCGAGGUUAAUCGUUCGUUUGGCAAGGCUCGCCUGUUGCCGCGCCGUGCGCCUCCAAGUUGCCGCCCACGUUAUGUAAGGCUGACUAAAGAGUGCCCGGCAUCGCCUCAUCCUUCUCUCUCGCUCAAAAAGAGCGCGAUAAUUCUCGGCGGGACGAGUCGCGAUGUCCCACGGUGCUUUUCUCUAGCGAAAAAUAGCGAAAAAUUGAGCGAGCGACGAAAAUACAGCCGCGGGAACACGGGUUCGCGCUUAUCGGACGAGGUCGAGGCUCGUCUCCGGAGAAUUCGUAAGCUACACCAUAAAAACAAUGGUAUCCUAUAACUACUCGUCUAACAUCGCAGUCGCGCUUUGUGUCUGCAACUAGAGUACCGCUAACCGACGUUUGCGUAGGGUCUUAUCGCAUUUUCUCUCAUCAAUCAAAGCGACUCUGUAAUCAAGCUAAGGUUGACUCAUUUCAGCAAUUUCGGGAUGAACUUACAUUAAAAAAUUUAAGCUUGGGAGAAAAGCCACUGUCGCUGCAAAUUCUCGUUUAAUCACACUUUCUCUUACAUUUCUUUUCCGAAAUUUCGAAUUCCAAGAAGAGAAAGAGAGGGAAACCGUGACGAAACCGUAGCACGUAAACUACAGCCGCGCUCGUCAGAAGCGUAAAACCGAACGAUUAUUUCGACAAGUGUUUCGAGACGUGGAGCGCGUUUUAGCGCUUUCGUGCGUCGGCGACAGAGAACGAAUAAACGAGCGACACGCGUGAAAGGGAAGAUGAGCGCUAUAUCGAGCUACGUGUACACGUGCGCGCGGAUAUUCGUCGUAUACAUAUGUAUAGGCUGACGAACCGCUCACAUGAACGGAGGGUCCAACGGCUGAUACGGCCCCGAUGAAUAAUUCACGAAGAACGAGUGAGCGUGAAGCCACACGCGGGGCCCCAUGAUCAGGCUCUCCACCGUCGCGAGGAUAGGACGUGGGCCCGCGCAACCUUUACAUGGCCAUUAUGGAGCUGUGUUAUUAUUCUCUCCUCGCGCCGAAAUAUUCCCGCGCGUCGCGGAUGCCGAAAACGCCCGGGGAUGUAGGGGAGGAGGACUUCCCGCCGAAUUUCGGGGAAUCGGUUUCGCUACCGCGAUGAAGACGCACGUGCAAUCUGAUCGUCAUUACGGUCCCGAUGCGUGGUAUUGACGAUUAAGGCAGACGAGGUGUAUCGUUAAAAGGAAGGAGAUAUAUUUGAAUAUACGAGAGUGCGUUCCGCUCGUUAACGUUCCAUUAUGCGUUUCCGAGACGAGUGCCACUGAAUGAAAAUUAUGAUUUGCGAAUACCGCGACCGUCCGAGGCAAAUAAACGUAUUACGACAUUCAAAGCGGGACACCGAAAACUCGAGCUUUCCGUCUCGCGACUUUCGGUCGCGUCAUCUAAAUACGCGUCGGUUCUUUGAUCGACGCGCUUUCUUGGGUGUCUUAUUGGGGGUAUAUAAAUAAAGUCUACCCCUCGCGUAACGUGCAUGUUAUUUACUGACUAUUUUUAUUCCAGUUCAAAGUAGGGUCCCGACUGGCAAACUCGCGUGGUACGUCAUGUUUUGCAUUCGAGAGUGUAUUUCUCUAUUCGUACUCUAUUCUUUAUAGAUGCUUUAAAUUUUGUGCAGAGAGAAGAAUAAAGUAACAAGUAUAAGACGAGAAUCUCAAAUCUGUAUUAUAAAUUGAUAUUGUACACGUUCAGGAGAUGCGAGAGUUAUAAAACAAAUCAAAAAUAUUGACAUACCAUAUUGUCAUGUAAUUUUUAGAACGUCUCACGUAAGCAUACGUCACAAACUUCUUGAUCUGAUACUAUCGAUAAAAGCAACAUAAAUAAUAAAGUGCAAAUUGUCGUAGCGGCAGGAAAUAUUCACAACUUCUUUCUUUCGACUCGCGAGCUCGAGAAUGACGAUUCUAACUGACACGGCAAUGUUGGAAGCGUUUAAUCCGACACCGUCUGCCAACACCAACGCAGCAAGAUAAGAGAGGAAAGGAGAGACGAUGGGAGGGAAUGAGCAAGAACGAGCCGAAGUGUGCAUUGAGCCACGGAUUACCGCAGUCGUGUACUCAGUUUUCAGACUAACAGAUGAAGGGAAAAGGCAAAAGGCUUUUUACACGGAAGGAUGCGGAAGCGGGAGUUUUCCAUGCGGAAGCCCUGUCGAGUUGAAUAGCGAAUCUUGAAUCUACGUUACUCACGAAGACGGGAAAGAAGACGAGGCGGGAGCGGACGGCAGGGACGGAAAAAGAAGGCGAAGCAAUUUAAUUUUUCUGCAGCGCGCGCGGAAGGUUCUAUAUCGCAUCGGAGGAAGAGACGCGACGUGUCGCGGUUUAUUACAUUUUUCCUCUCCUAGUCAACGAACUAAUGGACCGUUGGAAAUAGUGCCGAGGCUAUAAGCUUCUAUUCAUCCUUGGAAUAAAAUUGGCACCAUCUCGCCGGCAGUGUCGUCUCACUUCGACUCUCGGCUUCCCGUCUCGUCAGGUAGAGACGACCUAUUACAUCGCCGCGCGUCAAAUAUCUCACGUUCAAGAAUCUUCCGGUAAUUUCCGGAGAAAUAAUCGAAGUGAUUUCGCAUCUCACGCAUCCUUCAAAUGCGAACAUUUAUUUACCUUGUAAACCAGUACUUGGAACGUUACAAAUUUCGCUUUAUGCCAACAAUAUUGUUAAAUCGUUCUGAUGAUUGAUAACUCUCUAGAUAUCAAAAUUAUUUCACAAAUCAUGUCUGUGUGUCACGUUUUAAAAAUUAUUCAACACGAAUUGAAUAACAAAUUGUCGAUUCAAUUGCGCACCGCAUAGUUAGAGCCGCGACGUGAAAACAAAAGAAUGCAGCUUUGCGAAGAAUUAAAAGUGAGCUACGAGAGGAUGGGAGACUGUCCGGAAAACUCCAACUUUCCAAAUCCCACGAUCCAAUCAUACAUGACACCCAAGCGAGAAAUUAUCUACGAGACAAGAGAGGAAACGAGCAAUAAAACAUUUAU